RNAcentral lists this ribosomal RNA (2721 nucleotides) under metagenome. RNAcentral describes it as "bacterial LSU rRNA". It matches the Rfam family "Bacterial large subunit ribosomal RNA". The record is from RNAcentral.
AGGGCGCAGGGCGAAUGCCUUGGCACUGGGAGCCGAUGAAAGACGUGAUAAGCUGCGAUAAGCUUCGGGGAGCUGCAAAUAAGCAUUGAUCCGGAGAUUUCUGAAUGAGGAAACUCACCUGGGUUCAUACUCAGGUACGUUAUACUGAACUUCAAAAUAGGUAUAUCGAGGGAACCGCCUGAACUGAAACAUCUAAGUAGGGCGAGGAAGAGACAUCAAACGAGAUUCCGUAAGUAGUGGCGAGCGAACGCGGAAGAGGGCAAACCGAGAGUAGAAAUACUUUCGGGGUACGGACUGCUUUUAGGACUUAAUCUGUUAACCGAACGGCAUGGGAAGGCCGGUCAGAGAGUGUGAGAACCACGUAGGUGAAAACGGAGAGAGCUGCGCAGGAUCCAGAGUACGGCCAGACACGUGAAACCUGGUCGGAAUACGGGGGGACCACCCUCCAACCCUAAAUACUACCCAGUGACCGAUAGCGUAUAGUACUGUGAAGGAAAGGUGAAAAGCACCCCGGGAGGGGAGUGAAAUAGAACCUGAAACCCUGUGCCUACAAGCACCUAGAGCACGUCAAUGUGUGAUAGGGUACUUUUUGUAGAACGGUCCGGCGAGCGAUUGUAUGCAGCAAGGUUAAGGACUUAAGGUCUGGAGCCGAAGCGAAAGCGAGUUUGAAAAGGGCGUUAAGUUGCAUACAAUGGGCCCGAAACCGGGUGACCUACCCAUGGUCAGGUUGAAGUGGAAGUAAAAUUCCAUGGAGGACCGAACCGACCUCCGUUGAAAAGGCGGCGGAUGAACUGUGGGUAGCGGAGAAAUUCCAAUCGAACCCGGAGAUAGCUGGUUCUCCCCGAAAUAGUUUUAGGACUAGCCUCAAGUUAGAUACCUGGAGGUAAAGCACUGAAUAGCCUAGCGGCCGAGAGGUUAGCGAAGCUUAUCAAACUCAGAAUGCCAGAGUAUUGAUGCUUGGGAGUCAGACAGUGUCAGAUAAAUGUCAUUGUCAAAAGGGAAACAGCCCAGAUCUACAGCUAAGGUCCCAAAGUCAGGUUAAGUGGAAAACGAUGUGAAGAUACGCAGACAACCAGGAUGUUGGCUCAGAAGCAGCCACUCAUUCAAAGAGUGCGUAAUAGCUCACUGGUCGAGCGUCUUUGCGCGGAGAAUUUAACGGGGCUAAACCUGACACCGAAGCUUAGGCAGCAUGUUUACAUGCUGGGUAGGGGAGCGUUGUAUACGCGGUGAAACAGUAGCGCAAGCGGCUGUGGAGUGUAUAGAAGUGAGAAUGCCGGAAUGAGUAGCGCGAAUGCAGUGAGAAUCUGCAUGGCCGAAAGCCUCAGGUUUCUGGAGGAAGGUUCGUCCGCUCCAGGUUAGUCGGGAGCUAAGGUGAGGCCUAACGGCGUAGCCGAUGCACAGACGGUAGAGAUUCCGUCACCACCAAAAGAGUUAAACACAGGGACACAUAUGAAGUCUCGGAGCCGGGUGUUGGUUCCGGUAGCGAUCGAGGGAAGUUAGUACCGAAGUCUGAGAUGGAAGAUGGCGAGAAAAGCUGUGUGAAUUUCUGCGGUGCCCGUACCGCAAACCGACACAGGUAGGUAGGAAGAAGAUUCUAAGGCCAACGGGAGAAGGGUUGUUAAGGAACUCGGCAAAUUGACCCCGUAACUUCGGGAGAAGGGGUGCUCCAGAGAUGGAGCCGCAGAGAAUCGGCCCAAGCAACUGUUUACCAAAAACACAGGUUUGUGCUAAAUCGAAAGAUGACGUAUACGAGCUGACGCCUGCCCGGUGCUGGAAGGUUAAGAGGAGAUGUGCAAGCAUUGAAUCGAAGCCCCAGUGAACGGCGGCCGUAACUAUAACGGUCCUAAGGUAGCGAAAUUCCUUGUCAGGUAAGUUCUGACCCGCAUGAAAGGCGUAAUGAUUUGGGCACUGUCUCAACAGCCCGCCCGGCGAAAUUGUAGUACCGGUGAAGAUGCCGGUUACCCGCGACAAGACGGAAAGACCCCAUGGAGCUUUACUGUAGCCUAAUAUUGGGUUUCGAUGUUGCAUGCACAGGAUAGAUGGGACACUGGGAAGCAGGUGCUUUGGCGCUUGUGGAGUGGCCGUUGGGAUACCAUCCUUGCGAUAUUGGAAUUCUAACCUGCGCCUUUGAAUCAAGGCGGGGGACAUUGUUAGGUGGGCAGUUUGACUGGGGCGGUCGCCUCCUAAAGAGUAACGGAGGCGUUCAAAGGUUCGCUCAGCUUGAACGGAAAUCAAGCAAAAGAGUGCAAACGCAGAAGCGAGCCUAACUGCGAGACUGACGGGUCGAGCAGUAACGAAAGUUGGAGUUAGUGAUCCGGUGGUAUGUGAGUGGAAAUGCCAUCGCUCAACGGAUAAAAGUUACCCUGGGGAUAACAGGCUGAUCUCCCCCAAGAGUCCACAUCGACGGGGAGGUUUGGCACCUCGAUGUCGGCUCAUCGCAUCCUGGGGCUGUAUUCGGUCCCAAGGGUUUGGCUGUUCGCCAAUUAAAGCGGUACGCGAGCUGGGUUCAGAACGUCGUGAGACAGUUCGGUCCCUAUCUGUCGUGGGCGCAGGAUAUUUGAUGGGAGCUGUCCCUAGUACGAGAGGACCGGGACGGACGUACCUCUGGCGCACCAGUUGUUCCGCCAGGAGCAUAGCUGGGCAACUACGUACGGAUCGGAUAAACGCUGAAAGCAUCUAAGCGUGAAGCCGACCCAAAGAUAAGAUAUCCCACUGAUUUGA